RNAcentral lists this ribosomal RNA (497 nucleotides) under uncultured bacterium. RNAcentral describes it as "partial 16S ribosomal RNA". It matches the Rfam family "Bacterial small subunit ribosomal RNA", at positions 28 to 507 of the family's 1533-position model. The record is from RNAcentral.
GAUGAACGCUGGCGGCGUGCCUAAUACAUGCAAGUCGAGCGAACGGACGAGAAGCUUGCUUCUCUGAUGUUAGCGGCGGACGGGUGAGUAACACGUGGAUAACCUACUUAUAAGACUGGGAUAACUUCGGGAAACCGGAGCUAAUACCGGAUAAUAUUUUGAACCGCAUGGUUCAAAAGUGAAAGACGGUCUUGCUGUCACUUAUAGAUGGAUCCGCGCUGCAUUAGCUAGUUGGUAAGGUAACGGCUUACCAAGGCAACGAUGCAUAGCCGACCUGAGAGGGUGAUCGGCCACACUGGAACUGAGACACGGUCCAGACUCCUACGGGAGGCAGCAGUAGGGAAUCUUCCGCAAUGGGCGAAAGCCUGACGGAGCAACGCCGCGUGAGUGAUGAAGGUCUUCGGAUCGUAAAACUCUGUUAUUAGGGAAGAACAUAUGUGUAAGUUACUGUGCACAUCUUGACGGUACCUAAUCAGAAAGCCACGGCUAACUACGUG